This 492-nucleotide ribosomal RNA is filed under the name uncultured bacterium. RNAcentral's name for it is "bacterial SSU rRNA". It matches the Rfam family "Bacterial small subunit ribosomal RNA", at positions 43 to 524 of the family's 1533-position model. The record is from RNAcentral.
CAGGCCUAACACAUGCAAGUCGAACGGUAACAGGAAGCAGCUUGCUGCUUCGCUGACGAGUGGCGGACGGGUGAGUAAUGUCUGGGAAACUGCCCGAUGGAGGGGGAUAACUACUGGAAACGGUAGCUAAUACCGCAUAACGUCGCAAGACCAAAGAGGGGGACCUUCGGGCCUCUUGCCAUCGGAUGUGCCCAGAUGGGAUUAGCUUGUAGGUGAGGUAACGGCUCACCUAGGCGACGAUCCCUAGCUGGUCUGAGAGGAUGACCAGCCACACUGGAACUGAGACACGGUCCAGACUCCUACGGGAGGCAGCAGUGGGGAAUAUUGCACAAUGGGCGCAAGCCUGAUGCAGCCAUGCCGCGUGUAUGAAGAAGGCCUUCGGGUUGUAAAGUACUUUCAGCGGGGAGGAAGGUGCUGUGGUUAAUAACCGCAGCAAUUGACGUUACCCGCAGAAGAAGCACCGGCUAACUCCGUGCCAGCAGCCGCGGUAAU